ACUACGGGUGGCAGCAGUGAGGAAUAUUGGUCAAUGGGCGGAAGCCUGAACCAGCCAAGUAGCGUGCAGGAUGACGGCCCUACGGGUUGUAAACUGCUUUUAUACGGGAAUAACGCGCCUUACGUGUAGGGCUUUGCAUGUACCGUAUGAAUAAGGAACGGCUAAUUCCGUGCCAGCAGCCGCGGUAAUACGGAAGGUCCGGGCGUUAUCCGGAUUUAUUGGGGUUAAAGGGAGCGUAGGCCGCAUGUCAAGCGUGCUGUGAAAUGUCCGGGCUCAACCCGGGCCUUGCAGCGCGAACUGGCGUGCUUGAGUCCGCGGAAGGCAGGCGGAAGUCGGCGUGUAGCGGUGAAAUGCUUAGAUAUGACGAAGAACCCCGAUUGCGAAGGCAGCUUGCUGCAGCGGAACUGACGCUGAUGCUCGAAAGCGCGGGUAUCGAACAGGAUUAGAUACCCGUGUAGUC
Molecule: ribosomal RNA, 460 nt
Filed under: uncultured bacterium
Lineage: Bacteria
Description: partial 16S ribosomal RNA
Rfam family: Bacterial small subunit ribosomal RNA
Source: RNAcentral